GAUAGAGGAUGCAAGUGUUAUCCGGAAUGAUUGGGCGUAAAGCGUCUGUAGGUGGCUUUUCAAGUCCGCCAUCAAAUCCUAGGGCUCAACCCUAGACAGGAAGUGGAAAACUACCAAGCUAGAGUACGGUAGGGGCAGAUGGAAUUUCUGAUGGAGCAGUGAAAUGCAUUAAGAUCGAAAAGAACACCAAUGGCGAAAGCACUCUGAUGGGCCGACACUGACACUGAGAGAUGAAAGCUAGGGGAGCAAAUGGG
This 254-nucleotide ribosomal RNA is filed under the name uncultured bacterium. Its description in RNAcentral is "partial 16S ribosomal RNA". It matches the Rfam family "Bacterial small subunit ribosomal RNA", at positions 524 to 776 of the family's 1533-position model. The record is from RNAcentral.